RNAcentral lists this long non-coding RNA (748 nucleotides) under Monodelphis domestica (gray short-tailed opossum). Its description in RNAcentral is "lncRNA (ENSMODG00000042980.1)". The record is from RNAcentral. Lineage: Eukaryota; Metazoa; Chordata; Mammalia; Didelphimorphia; Didelphidae.
AAUUUGUUGUUGUUUAAUUGUGUGACUAAAUAAUGACUAAUAGUGACUUCAUCUGGAAUUUUUUUUUUUGGCAAAGAGACUAGAGUGGUUUGCCAUUUCCUUCUCCAGCUCAUUUUACAGAUGAAGAAACUGAGGCAAACAAGGCUUAAGUGACUUGCCCAGUAUCACAAAGCUAAUCGCUCACCUGGUCUCCUCCCUGCCCACCCCGGCUGCCUGCUCCUGCUCCUGGCCUCUCUCUUGCUCACCUGGCCCAGCUGAUCCCGGCCCAGCAACCCUGACCUCAGAGCAGACCGCUUAUCACCCCAGGCCCAAGACUCACUUCUACCAGCUGGUAACAAAAACAAAAACAAAAACAAAAAAAACGGGGGUGGAUCACAGAAGAGGGAAAAAAGGGAAAGAGGAAGGAGAUUUUUCCAAACUGGAACUUAUAACCAUGACUGAUUUAAAAGGAUAUCUUUUAACUAUAUUGAUAAUUUCAUCUACCUCACAUGUGAUUCAGGGGAAAAAUUCAGUUCCCUGCAAUUUUGGGGAGGCAGCUGGGUGGUUCAAUGGACUGAGAGCCAGGCAUAGAGACGGGAGGUCCUUGGUUGAAAUCUGGCCUCAGAGACUUCCUAGCGGUGUGGCCCUAGACGGGUCAUUUAACCUCCAUUGCCUAACCAUUACCAAUCUCCUGCCUUCUGACAAUAGGCAUCUAAAUAGAUAAAAACCCAAGGAACUUCAAAGAGACUGGAGAUUAUAUUUUUAAAGC